RNAcentral lists this ribosomal RNA (408 nucleotides) under uncultured bacterium. Its description in RNAcentral is "partial 16S ribosomal RNA". It matches the Rfam family "Bacterial small subunit ribosomal RNA", at positions 28 to 526 of the family's 1533-position model. The record is from RNAcentral.
GACGAACGCUGGCGGCGUGCUUAACACAUGCAAGUCGAACGAAGUGGCGAACGGGUGAGUAAUACGUGGGUGACAUGCCCUCCUUUUUGGGAUAAGCCUUGGAAACGGGGUCUAAUCCCGACUACAGGGGGAUGGGCUAGUGGCCUUUCGGCUUGGUGUUGGGGUGAUGGCCUCCCAAGGCGGUGACGGGUACACGGCCUGAGAGGGGGAACGGGAACGUAGGUACGGGGAUACGGCCCAGACUACGACGGGGGGCGGCAGUGGGGGAUAUUGGACAAUGGGGGAAAGCGUGAUGCAGCGACGCCGCGUAGGGGAUGAAGGCUUUCGGGUUGUAAACGUCAGUCACUAUCGAACGGGUAGGUGGAGAAGAAGCGCCGGCUAACUACGUGCCAGCAGCCGCGGUAAUUC